Molecule: unclassified non-coding RNA, 165 nt
Filed under: fungal sp.
Lineage: Eukaryota; Fungi
Description: partial internal transcribed spacer region
Rfam family: Eukaryotic small subunit ribosomal RNA (bases 1-46)
Source: RNAcentral
AAGUCGUAACAAGGUUUCCGUAGGUGAACCUGCGGAAGGAUCAUUAACAAAUCAUGUGAGUUGGGGCUUUGCCCGGCUCAUUUUUGCGCGUGUGUUGUGUGACUGGUUACAAAAAUGUUGGGUAUCAUAAAGAGACAACUUUUAACAAUGGAUCUCUUGGCUCUU